This is a long non-coding RNA of Amphiprion ocellaris (clown anemonefish), 817 nucleotides long. The record is from Ensembl. Lineage: Eukaryota; Metazoa; Chordata; Actinopteri; Pomacentridae.
GAUCUUGUUUUUGGAGUAAAACACGAUGUUCAGAGGGAGAUGAUGCCACAUCUGGUCCAGCCGAUGGAAGGUCUUGAAGUUCUCUGACUGGCCUCGACUGAAGAUGGUCGUCUCACUGGAUUUAAGGUUCAGAUGCUCAGUAACAAACUCCACCAAUGAGCCAACAGGGAAGCUUUAGGUUUAUUAAAUGUUGCUAUGAAGAUGCACAAUGAGGGACGUCUGCAGAGACUGAGAAAGAGUCUCACCACAUCCUGACAUGAGGAAAAAGACUUUAUUGAAGACUACAAUGAGAAAAACUAUCAGACAGCAGACGGCUGCAUUCAAGUCUGUAGCUGCUGAAUUCAUGGAUGAAUCAUCUGGCACUAGAGAAGAAGACCAUCAAACAUCCACGUCAGCUGAUGGAGGUCCAAGAGUCUCACCAAACAACCUACAGAGUGAAGACCUCAAAUCUGAUUGGACGGCCUCCUAUUCAGCCACAUGUGUGAACAAAUGCCUCUAAGCUGAUUUGUUUUCUAAAAUAAAUCUAGUUUGAGUCCUAAUCUAUGCCUGUGUGUUUGCUUCUUUACACUGCUGUUAACAGUUUAGGCUGUUAGAUUGUUCCAGAUAAGACAAGUACAAGAUACUUCAGAGCCGUUCUACCACGAGCCUGACAGGAAGAACUCCAACAGCUACUGAAUGUUCCUGUGGUCCCCUCAAGGCUACAGGAGGAGCCCUAUGAGGACGAGCCGGUCCACCUGAUGGUGGCCAGUUGCUGCGGUUCAAAGCCAACACCGACUACAUGGACUUCUACUGGACCACACGGAGGCCUUCAAACCGG